MicroRNA precursor from Chlorocebus sabaeus (green monkey), 112 nucleotides. Ensembl annotates it as microRNA 151a. Its record names the gene MIR151A. NCBI's taxonomy places the organism in Eukaryota, Metazoa, Chordata, Mammalia, Primates, Cercopithecidae. The record is from Ensembl.
GGGGCAAAGAUGACUAAAACACUUUUCCUGCCCUCGAGGAGCUCACAGUCUAGUAUGUCUCAUCCCCUACUAGACUGAAGCUCCUUGAGGACAGGGAUGGUCAUACUCACCU